Molecule: ribosomal RNA, 775 nt
Filed under: uncultured Neocallimastigales
Lineage: Eukaryota; Fungi; Neocallimastigomycota; Neocallimastigomycetes; Neocallimastigales
Description: partial large subunit ribosomal RNA
Rfam family: Eukaryotic large subunit ribosomal RNA
Source: RNAcentral
GUAGUCUCGCACAGAUGCAUAUCAAUAAGCGGAGGAAAAGAAACUAACAAGGAUUCCCCUAGUAACGGCGAGUGAAGCGGGAAGAGCUCAAAUUUGAAAUCUUAAAGGGUUUCCCUUUACGAAUUGUAGUUUAAAGAAGUGUUUUCUGUUGAGGUUUUGGUAAAAGUUCUUUGGAAUAGGACAUCAUAGAGGGUGAGAAUCCCGUAUUUGACCUUUACUUUCAACUUUGUGAUACACUUUCAAAGAGUCGGAUUGUUUGGGAAUGCAGUCCAAAAUGGGUGGUAAAUUUCAUCUAAAGCUAAAUAUUGGCGAGAGACCGAUAGCGAACAAGUACCGUGAGGGAAAGAUGAAAAGAACUUUGAAAAGAGAGUUAAACAGUACGUGAAAUUGUCAAAAGGGAAGCGUUUGACACCAGUGUUGUUUUUCUGAAAAUCAAUUAAAGAACUGUUUAUGCUAAGUUGUUUAGACUUUAUCAGCUAACUGUUUAGUUUUGAGCUUUUCUUUAAUGCACUUUUCAGUUAACAAGUCAACAUCAAUUUCUUUUGCUGUAAAAAAGCUUGAGGAAGGUGGCUUGAGAUUCGUCUUAAGUGUUUAUAGCCUCUUGCCUAUGCAGUCGGAGAGAUUGAGGUCUGCAGCGUAGAUCCUUCGGGGCUAAAUGCAUUUGUGCUAAGUUAUAGCAUUUUCAUAGACAACUUGUUGACUAUGAUUUGUCUUGUAGCUUACUCGCUUAUGUUAUUUUACCUACGCUUAGGAUGUUGAUCUGUAGUGCGUGCGC